GGUUUUUAUUGAGGAGUUUUACAUUGGUUUUAAUAGAGCUAAUGUCAUUGUACAUCCCUAGUGGUUUUAAUGGUUUUACCUAGUUAGGUUUGAACCCUUUAAACCAUUUGAGUUGUUCUGCUGCUAGGAAACUAUUGCUGCUAUGCCUGCAUGCACUUUAUGUUGCAAUUUUUGCACUUGCACUUGCAUUUUGGAUUAUUUUUGGAGAAAAUAAAAGAAAAAGGAGAUUGAGGACCUCAUAGCUAACUGGGUUCCAUCAUUUUCUUCGGUACACCAUUGUUAUUCCUACCGCUCGUUGCCUACCUGUCCACAUUAAAAAAAAAAUGAAACACAUUCCUUUGUAGCUGCAGGUAGACCCUGGACAACAGCUCCUCAUCCUAAUGCUGAGAUUCUUUUAUGGAGCAUUGAAGUAGGUCUGACUCUGGGUGGCAUCUUUUGUGGGGCAACAUUUCUCUUCAGUCUCUGCAGAACUGGGAAAAGGCAUUCUAGGUGUUUCCUUGCAGGUGCUGAGAUGUCUUUGGCUGACUGUGAUGAAACCUACACCACUGCUACCUAUAAUUGCAAAACUCAUACUUGAGUGAUGAUACAUCAGCUGUGAGAUAUACAGCAUGGAGCGCUCCAAAAACAAAUGUAUUUUUUAACAUCUUUUUUCUGAACUGUUUUUCUCUCUGCUUUCAUUUACUUGUUUGCUAGAAUGCAUCACAUAAUAAAUAUAUCAAAUAAAAAUGAACAUGUUGAUUAUGAAUGUCUUUAGCUCUUUACAAACAUCUUAUUAGUCUUUAGCCAGAAUGAGGCUAUUUGAAAAAAAAAUGUCAGUUAGUCUUCUUGCUAUUUUUUUAUGUUCAUUUCUUCCAAAUAAAAUAUAUUACAAAUAUUUUAGCUCACUGCUGGUUCUAAUUAGUUUCCUAAACACUUUAUUAGUCUAACAUAACCAUAAAUAUGAACAAAUCGACUACAACAUAAUGAAUCUUUACUCAUACACUUUCUCUCCUUGGGGGCAAACAAUGCUUUUUGGAUUUAUUUAUUUAUAAUCCUAUUAUCUCACCAAAACUUUGACUGUUUUUAUUUUAUAUUCUUAGAGAAUUCAUUUGAUGAAAUGAGGUCGUUUCACAGGACUGUCCAUAUAACUGUCCACCAAAUUGUGGAUUACUUUCAGGUAAAACCUGUUCUGCUUAGUGGCAGGUUAAGAUCAUGGAAAAUCUAACUACAGUGCUUUGCAAAAGCAUUUAUAAUCACUUUAAUUUUUGCAUAUCAUGUUGUAUUACCACAAACAUCAAUGCAUUUUUUUGGGAUGUUCUCUAGGAAAUAAUAAAGAUGACUCAUGGUUUUCAAA
This is a long non-coding RNA of Fundulus heteroclitus (mummichog), 1333 nucleotides long. RefSeq lists it as uncharacterized. NCBI's taxonomy places the organism in Eukaryota, Metazoa, Chordata, Actinopteri, Cyprinodontiformes, Fundulidae. The record is from RefSeq and is a predicted model, not a curated record. The transcript has 5 exons.